This 250-nucleotide long non-coding RNA is filed under the name Mytilus galloprovincialis (Mediterranean mussel). Lineage: Eukaryota; Metazoa; Mollusca; Bivalvia; Mytilida; Mytilidae. The record is from RNAcentral.
CAAGAAGGCCUCUGAUAGCAAAUUUCUUUACUCGCUAUACUCUACUAGACAUUAUUAAUAACAACACAAUUCUUUCUUUUUUUAUUUUUAUAUAUUCUUAUAAACAUUAGUCAAUUACAUAGAGCUAUCAUAUUUUUUUAAUUGGAAGGCGGAUAGAACUUAGGGUUAUCCAACGCAUCGGAACAACAUUCGUAUAUCAUGGGAUAUCAACAUCUUUGUCGACGUUACUUCGUUCCCCGUGUUUUACCUG